Long non-coding RNA from Panicum virgatum (switchgrass), 2876 nucleotides. RefSeq lists it as uncharacterized. The transcript has 2 exons. The record is from RefSeq and is a predicted model, not a curated record. Lineage: Eukaryota; Viridiplantae; Streptophyta; Magnoliopsida; Poales; Poaceae.
CAUAUUACUGUACCAGCAAAUAUCUCCGUUCCGCUUCGAGAGCCUUCUUCUCGUUUCGGCGUGGGCACAGCAAACUCAGAUCCAGCCGCCUCCGGACACCGUUGCGGUGAGGACGCAACGGAGGAGCUCAUCGGCCGCUACCUGACAACUGACCCUCCAUGGAGGCUGAGCAGGCGCAGCACCUCCGCCAUGAUCUCGUCAACGGUCGCCUGCCCACCUCCAUCACCUCAUCCUGCACCUUUUCAUCCUUCUCCAGAUGCUCCCCCCUCGCCGCCCGUUCAUCUCCAUUUCCGCGUCUGCCUUUGGCUUUUUCUCCAGCGAGGACGGAUCUCCGCCUCGCCAAAUGACCGGGCGCGAUGGAGACUCUGCUCCCCUUCUCUGAUUCUCCCACUAGCGUUGGCUGCCCUUCCUCCUAGCGCACCGCGAAGGAGGUGGCGGACAUACAGUUCCUGGGCCUCCUGAUGGCGGCCUUCGUGGCGGGUAGCUGCCGCGCGCGCGGUGGCGGCGAUCCGGCGGGUCUGCCUCUUCGUAGUUGCAGCUCGCCAUGAUCUCAAGCUCGCCGUGGAGGUCAAUGCGGCAGCGCAUGCGAUUCUGUGCCAAUCACCGGCGCGUACAUUCCGUUCCCCGCCGCCUGCAUCUUGUCAAGCAUCUCCACCGCCGGCCAUGUUCAAAUUCGCACUGGAGCUCUUCUUGCUCUGGCCGUUGCGGCGUCGGUGUCGACCGCGGCAUCCGUCGAUCUGGCCGCCGCUGCUGGGCUGGCCUUCCCUUCCCUCCUCAGGCACAGCAGUUGUUCCGGAAGGACUCAAAGAUAAUCACUCUUGAGGCUCUAGCUACUGUUAAGUCUGCUAUUGCAGAUAGUGGGAACUACAAGAAGGUUGAACUAACAAAGAAUUCUUUCAAAAAAAAGUAAGAAAGAAGGCAGGCAGCUGGGUGAAGUUGGGAGGACCCAACCUUGACGGAUAGUCUGAAAGUAAGUUCUCUAAUUCUCUGUUGUCUGCUUGUCUUAUUCAUGAUGUUUCUCAGAUCCAUAAUUUUGUGAUUUAUGGAAUAUUUUAAUUUGGCAAUGCAUCAUUUUUUAGCUCUUAUUGUCCAUCAACUUGAAGAUGACAAAGUAACCAUGAGUUAAGUUGUCAUUCUCGCAGGCAAGAUAUAAUGCUCUAUGAUCUAUCAUGAUAGAUCAUGAUUUGAUCUGAAACUCUAAAAGAAACUGAUCUUUUCUUCCUUUUUUAAAGGUGCUCGAAGGUGUCAUGUGUGAGCCAACAUGUUGCCACACGGGAUUUAGGUGGGCUUGCAGAUGAUAUAGUAAACAUCUACAGUUUUUUAUCUUACCAAAUUUGCUUGCAGAUGAUAGAUGUUAAUAAAGAUCUGACAGAAAGGGAAACACCAAAGGCUAGAUUAAUAUGUGCGGAGGCGAUGAUGUUUGCCAACUUUGAAUUCGGUUUGUCAUUGUUCCCUGAUCUUGAGGCAGUUUAAGGCUUUGUCAUGUCUGUUUUUUUUGUUAGGUUUGUGAGUUGGUGUAUGCAAUGAUCUGAGUACAUCCCAAUAUUUUUUUUAAUAAAUCUACAGACAAUGUGUUUGUUCUGUGGUAAACAUUUUAGUUUUCACUGAUUUGUUUUUUAAUAUAAUUCAAACUUGCAACCUUCUACUGAUGCAAUAAGACACCCGAAUCUCGGUUACAUGUUAUUGCAAUCCAACAAGGCAAACAAUGUCUGUACAAAGCUGGAGGAGACCACCUUGCUUCUUCAUGGCCUGUAAAUUGGUCAGGUUAUCAUUAAAUAAAUGGUUGGAAAAUUAGAAAUAGAGCUAGAUUAUAGUCUAAAUGGUAUGGCAAUUUGGAAAAGCAAAUGUAGCUUUCCCAUGAUUCAGUGAAUAAAUUUUUUUGAACAUUAUAUUUGUGUACAGCAAUUCAAUUUGGAAUCUAAUUUUACACAGUAAGCUAAAUUUGCGAUUAUAUUUGCUUGGCCAUAAAAACUUGGGUAUUCUCAACAUUCUGUUUGUAAUUGUGAUUGCUUCUUAGAAUACUCUUAUUAUAACAAUGUGCUUUUGUUGAAGUCUAUGAUUUGAAGAGUAUAUCGUUUUACUGCUACUAUUAUACCAAAGUACUUUAUAAGUUUAUAAUAUAAGCUUUAAAAGUAACAACGAUGUAUAUACAAGCUUGCAUCUUGGUAAGUUACUUUUCCUCCUUACUUUUAGUUAUCUAUGAUAUUGCUGAGAAUAAUAGCUGCAAUUUAUUAGUUUUGUGCCUGAGAAACUUUUGUAUAUUAUAUGCUAUUGUGUAUAAGUUACAGCUUAGUAUACAUUCUGCUUUGAAUAUAACUACGCUUUGUCUUAUUCAAAUUCCAACAAUGCGACCACUGAGAAGUUAAAUUAAUAUCUACUAAAAUACUACAAGCUACCUAUGAUAAAUCAGGAUGGCCAACUGGCUGACAUUUUUUUUUACAUUUCUAUUCUUCUCAUCUCUUCUCUUCUAUUCUUGUCAUAUAUUACUCUUCUUACUUAUGCUCUACUACUCAUUUCAAUUCAAUUGAUUUAGAUACUGCGAAUGCCAAAUAUAUUUUUUUAUAAUGCAAAAUAGAUUUUUUUUAAAAAAAACUACACACCCUUAAUUGCAUGCCUUCUAUUACCAUACAACUAUCUUCUUUAUCAUUGCAGGAAACUCAUGGUCAUCGCCGCAGCAAUAGUGAUGUACCUCGGCAUGUAUCAGGAGCCCAAAUCAUAGUUUGCAUGUGCUCUACGCACUUACCGUCCAUAUUAGAAUGUAAAUGGUUUUCACAAUCCAUGUACUAAAUACCAUUCAUGUGUGAAAUAAUCUAAUAACAUGUUGCUAUGUCCAUCUUGUAUCCAUUCAAUAUACUCACAUAUAUAUGUUCCAUUUC